GAAGCCAGAGAUCAAGCGGCCACUUGACUUCUCGACACAACCGGUUCUUCCGCCGUGUUCUCUCUGGUCCCAUAAAGAAAGUUUGAAGGUUUGUAGACCGUCUGUUUUCACCGACGUAUGACCACAAAAAAACGAAGAACUACACAAACAACCUUACACGUUCUUGUCCCCAAACUCACAUACGUUGUUGUUUUUUAAGCUGUUGCCCAACCCACGGGCUGUCAGGGCUGCUACCGUGGCCUCUGCGCAGGCGUCGGCUCAAGCCAGGCGCGUCCUUGGCCGCUUCAACGUCAUGUCCUUCGACCCUCUAAGUCUAGAGGAAUAGUCGCUCUAUUGAGAACCUUGUUACUGGAAACCUCUUGUUUCGUGUCUCUUCCUUAGUGUACUAUACUAUAGAAUAAGAAAACUAGUCCCGUAGUUGUAUGAGCUGUGGCGUCUUUAAAUGGGUUAAGUUGGGUUCCUCCUCUGAGUUCCUUCCUGACUAGAUAUACAUCCGUCCACCUACUUUAGGUUCGGUGCUCUAUUUCAUUAAAACCGGUGGUUUCAAAGACCAAUAAGUCUAGCGUGAAAAGAAGCCCUGUUACGUCUUUACCACGCACAACUACGAGGUUUAUAUUUCCUUUCACAGCUUUUCUCGGAAAGUGCGAAUAGAUGUCUGAUGUAACUAAACGAAGUGUAUGUGACCGGUCUAUCCAUACACCGUGAUAUACCGCUUAAGUCAAUACUAAGUUGAUUUACCUCCGGUUCGCAGGGUAAACUCCUAGUCAACUUUCGAGAAGUCCUUGAUUAACUACUUCCUUUCCAUGCUAUGUAGCCGCAAAGGUUACUUUGGAGCAUGCCCCAUUACGCCAAACAUGUCCGACGUUUCGAAGUACCUGAAGGCUUCUAACACUCGUAGGUCUUGCCAAUGUCAGAUGAACACUCUACGUCGAAGCUUCAACUAGAACGACUCCAAACGGUGGGUUUGUUGACGUUGUAACCCGACGAGCGGAUGAGGGGCGAGCCGUCGCCACAAGACUGGCCUUUCAUAGACCUACUAUCGACACCGUUGUCGUUCUCAAAGUCCGAUUUAGAGAAGGGACCUAUGUACGUCGCGAUGUUGCGGGGAGACCGAUUCCUUCGUUGCUUCCUUAUGGAGUUCCAGCGCUUCUUCGUAGCCGAUUGAGGCCAGGUCGAACGGGACCCGAAGCAGGCACUGGCGGGUAAGUGUCGAUCGUGGUAGUAGCCUCGCUGGUGGUACCUAGUCGACUUCCUCUUGUAGCUUCGCAAGUGGUCGCGAGGUGCCGGAGACGGCGGUGUUCAAGAACUACUGUAACGCUGACAAAAGUUCUCUAUGUCUCUGGGUCGUCAGGAGAUCUACCAAAAAGUCGAAAGAGACUUCGUUUAUUGUCGUUGGGAGUCACCUAUGUCUGGUUCCCUUGUCAAACGAUAGUACGUUAAAGUAUAUCGUUAAUCGACAAUCGCAUAUAAUAACAAGACCUAUUUGUAAUGAUCGAUUCUCAAUUAUUUCACGUAGCCUACAGGUCUAAGGGAGGUAACGUCGUGACUUACGUGUGCUCAAUGUUGGGUGUGAUAAGUCGUAAACGUGUGUUCCUGGUUUAGGGUAUCAGGCUGCUCAGUACGCUAACUCAAGAGAUGGUAGAUAUGUGUGUGUGUGAAGGUAAGUCAAAAUGUCAGUUCGUAUUAGUCACGUCCUCUGGGCGGAAUAGUCAGUAGAACGUCUUAAGUCAGUAGGUAAGCGGACGGAAACACACAGGACGAGUAGUAGCAGUGUAAGCAGUCUCAUCAACUUCAGAACUCGCAAGGUAGAACCCAAACAGUUCGCGGGAGACGGUAGGGACGCUGGUGAGAGACGACAAACGACCAGUUAGUUAAGCUCGACGAAAGAAUGGGUUCCUCCCAGUAGACCUACUUCGGUAUCGACGAGUGCCCACAGGAACACGAAUUUUAGUCCCGUUGACCGUAUACCAAACAUAACGGCCAAUAGGGUGGUGAGCAUUCCCGACCGUUUCUUCUGGACGG
Molecule: ribosomal RNA, 2022 nt
Filed under: Triticum aestivum (bread wheat)
Lineage: Eukaryota; Viridiplantae; Streptophyta; Magnoliopsida; Poales; Poaceae
Description: partial small subunit ribosomal RNA
Source: RNAcentral